GUGGAUGAUGGAUUUUGGGAGGGAGAACUGGAUGGCCGGAUUGGUGUCUUCCCAUCUCUGGUUGUAGAGCUUCUCCAGGAUGAAGAGGAAGAGCUGCAGGAAAAAGAUGAUGAAGAAACUCACCAAAGUCCAACUAAGUCUUCCAUCUCAACCCCUUCACCAAUCUCUUCACCUCCUGGUGGCAGUUCACAAGCUGGUGCUACUUCUACUGGUGGCGAUGAGACUGAAGAGUCAGUUCCUGUGGUGAUCUCGGACCUUGAAGGCCACACUUCAGGUAGAUCUGAUUCAUAUUUGUGUUUCUUUAAUACAAAUGUAAAAGGUGACGUAAUUUAUUUUUCGUUCCCUCAGAAGCUUCUGUCAAGGUUCAAACUCCCGCACAGAUCCCCAGCGGUCGAAUAAAACCAGUAUGUCUCUGAUUUACAAUUACUCAUGAAGGCAACACAGCUUAGUUGAAACUAACGGCUCAUUUCUGUCUGCUGUUUCAGUGCAGAGCGCCUCCUCUUCCUCCAGCAGAAACACCUUCUUCAACUCAGCAUUAAGACUGGAGGGAAGUUUCAUUGGUCACCACAUGCUUGCUUGGAGUUCUGUUUAAAACGAAACAUUUUUCUGACUUAUUGGAUCGACUGAAGCUUCAGCGUGGAACAGCAAAACCCAGGAAAACCCCAAGAGUACCUAGCUGCAAACAAAACGGCGGACGGCGCUCCAAACCUGCCUCAGAUGGGACCAUUGUCUGUAUCUGGGAACUGGACUGAGUAAAGGCUUUACUUCCUGCUCCAACCAGAUGAAGUUGAUCCAUCUAUUGUUUUGCCAUAUGGACGUCGCCAUGUUGGAACCUGACAUCGUCAGUAAGCUGUGAUUUGUCCAAGUCUGCCUGAGCCCUCGUUUCUAUGGCAACCAAGAAUGAGCCUGUUGGAAGGCCACACCUGAAAUCAGGCAACAAGAAAUCUGUCAAACGUUUUAAACGUGGGGGCCAUCAGGCUCCACCUACUUUUAUCGAGGUAUCUGAUUGGUCAGUUUAUAACUUGAUUAAAAUAUCAUAGAAAAAGAGAAUUAGUAAGAACAUGUUAGAAAAAAGAUAUCAGGACAAGAAUGGUUCUUCUGACCAAUAGAAUGACAGACUAACAGCUGUUUAUUUCUACAUAGAAGUCUAUGAGAUUUUGGCUUCUUGAAGCCACUUCCUGUUUGGAACGCCAGCGGGGAGGGGAAGGUCACUCGGUUCUCUUAUACAGUCAAUGGAUGGGACUGAAGUUACAUUGAAUCUUAUCAUCCAGAUGUGAGUUUGCAUACAAACCCUAACCAGCUCCAUAUAAGUUAACUGACUUAAACCCAAACUACCACUAAACAGGUAACCUCCUCCAUUAUUACUACAGUGUUGCCGCUUUUCUGGUUUUAAUUCAUUUUACUCACUUUACGAUCUUGAUGUUUGUGUCCUUUUUCAUAUGUUUGUUGUUUCUCCAUCUGAAUUCUGCUUCAUGUGAAAAAACAGUCAGAUUGGUUUAAGAAUUCUUAUAUAUUUAUAUAUAAUCAGAAAACCAAACUAACAUGUAAAAAAAAGGAAGAAAUAUUAGGACAAGCAGAGUUUGAUCAUGAAGUGCCUGGAGGUUCAUUUUUAGCACCUUCACACUAAAUACAAAACACAAACUACAGCACAGCAGUGAUUCUCACAAAAACAGACCAUAUUUUCAGGUGUUUAUUUAUAAAGCAAACAUUUAUGUGACAGGAAGUGAAAGUUACAUGAGAGGCAGUGUGUUAGGAAACGGCAAAAAUGCAAACAAGUCACUUUCUUUUUCCAGGUCAAGUCUCGAGUCCUCAUGUCAGAAUUGUGUUUUUCUUUGUUGAUGUAUUUAAAAACGAACGGCAUGCUGACGUAAGUGACUUUAGCAGCGCAGCUUCAAAGAUGAAAAUAAAUGUCCUCCGAUUCCGUUUCAGUGCAACUGUUUAAAGUGAGUGUUUAAAAUAUACAAAAUGUGUACAACAGGAGGACAAAAUUAAGAGAAAGUUAAAGAAAAAUCUCUAACUGGGUUCAAAAUGCAAGAAUCAAGAUGUGUUAAAAUUUAGUCAGAGGAUCUUCACAGGAGGUUUUAUUAAGUGCCUUCUUGUAGUAUAAUUUAAUGAGAUUAUUGAAUGUUCCUAGUAUCAACUUUAACAAAAGACACUUGCUGAAGAUGUCCUGUUGAUGCUUGUUAAACUAAAAAAAAUCAAUAACUUAUCUGAAAUCACCAUUUUUGCAAAAUUGGAAGAACUUUGAGGGUAUUUCAAAUCAUCUCCAUGAGCCAUGGACCACCAAGAAGGGCUCAAAAACAGAGAUGUGUCAUCUCAGAAAACAUUCACAAUGUGUGUAGAACUUAUAGGUUUUGGUUUUAAAGUUGGAGUAAUAAAAUCAAAUUUAAGCACAGAGUUUUGCUUCAUCUGUUGGACACGGUGGUGGAAGCAUCAUGGUUGUUAAUUUCUUAUUUUCUUUGCUAUGAACUAAUUUCGCAGAGUAUUACUGACUCAUUGGUGCAAUCAAAUAAUAAAGAAAAUAUUCAGACUAAACUCAAGAGAAAAGGCUUCCAAACAACCCAUAAACAUAACGAACACUCAAAGAAAUGUUUAACCCUGGAGAACAAAAAAGCAAUUUCCCUCUGAGCUUCCUGAGCCUGAGCAGCGGCUACAUUUGGGUUUCCUUAGCAACACAGUUUUUUUUGUUCCCCAUGCCCACAUUCCUAAUAUGUUCAUAUCGUAUGUCAUAUUAUUUAGUUUAGCUUGAGCCAAUGAUUCAUGUAAUGAAUUUAAAUUAAAAGAAAAUGCCACUUUUGCUAGUCUGACGGCAUUCAAGAUCUACUGUUUUUAAUUCCAACAUUUUCUCUCCUGUAGCUUCCAAAUGAUGCUCGAGUAGUUAGAAGGCCGCAGACUUAAAAUUAAAAUUGCCGUUGGCACUAAAGGUGAUUUGUUUUUUUUAAUUCAAGAUUAAGUUUUCCCAAGGUCAAAGGUCAAUAAAACUUCUACUGAAGUUGUAGACUUAAUCUGGUGGUGUGUGUGUGAAAUUUUGGGAAGAUUGCUCAAGCAAAGUUCUAUUUUUUUUUUGUGUCCAUGUUGUGUAAAAACGUGAAAAUUGCCAAAUUUCACACUUUGUCAUAAACUUGCAAAAUACCCCAAAUUUAUUGUCACUGGGUACUAGGUGUGAGCAAAUUUUGGUGAGUUUUGUGGUGGAGGGGCAAAAAAGGUUAAAAAAAAAGAAGAUUUGCGAAAUAACAAUCUGGUCUUUCAGUCUACGUCUUCUGCUGAACCCAAAAAAACGGUGGUCAAAUUCUAGCUGCUUUGGUUCUCCAGGGUCAAACGGAUGAUCUGCUGUAAGGACAUAAAGCUGGUGCAUAAAUUAUGUAUUUUACAGAACAACUGAUUGGUGGUAAAAGGAAAAGCAUCAUAUUUGCUCGGAGCUUUUAGUCCAGCAAACGUAUGAACAGCUCUGGUUAGUUUAUCAAAAGCAUGUUCACAGUUAAG
RNAcentral lists this long non-coding RNA (3483 nucleotides) under Oryzias sinensis (Chinese medaka). RNAcentral describes it as "lncRNA (ENSOSIG00000000246.1)". The record is from RNAcentral. Lineage: Eukaryota; Metazoa; Chordata; Actinopteri; Beloniformes; Adrianichthyidae.